This is a long non-coding RNA of Cyclopterus lumpus (lumpfish), 499 nucleotides long. RefSeq lists it as uncharacterized. The record is from RefSeq and is a predicted model, not a curated record. NCBI's taxonomy places the organism in Eukaryota, Metazoa, Chordata, Actinopteri, Perciformes, Cyclopteridae. The transcript has 2 exons.
AUCACAGUAUGCUAAUGAGCCGGGGGCCUUUAAGAGCUCCUCAGACGUGGACACACAGCAGCCAGACGGGAGCGCGUGGAGGGGAGUGUCAGCGAGCCACGCUGCAUGCACAAAGAUCACCACCACGGCAGGAACAGGGCCGCUAACCGCUAUGUCUUGUGCCCCUGGACAGGAUAUCAUCUUAUACUGUAAGUUUGUUAAAGAGACACUACAGUAUAGAUGAUGUACUAUCCAGGGUCUCAUUCCUCCCUGCCGGCAUCACCAGCGCUCCCUAGCCGGCUCACGCCUAACCGACUGUGGCAGGCUGCACGCACCACAGAGGAGAGGCCGUCAAACCGUUACCAUUACUGAGUUUCAGUUAUGGUAAGGGUUAUACGGCCCUCGCUCAAUGUCAUCUGGCCCGGGAGGACGAAGAAAACUGGUGAUUGAUGUGUUGUGUGUGUGUGAACCUCUGGAGGGCAUCUGCAUGUGAAAUAAAACUUAUGGUUCCCAAACAAAA